Molecule: ribosomal RNA, 496 nt
Filed under: uncultured bacterium
Lineage: Bacteria
Description: partial 16S ribosomal RNA
Rfam family: Bacterial small subunit ribosomal RNA
Source: RNAcentral
GAUGAACGCUGGCGGCGUGCCUAAUACAUGCAAGUCGAGCGAACGGACGAGAAGCUUGCUUCUCUGAUGUUAGCGGCGGACGGGUGAGUAACACGUGGAUAACCUACCUAUAAGACUGGGAUGACUUCGGGAAACCGGAGCUAAUACCGGAUGAUAUUUUGAACCGCAUGGUUCAAAAGUGAAAGACGGUCUUGCUGUCACUUAUAGAUGGAUCCGCGCUGCAUUAGCUAGUUGGUAAGGUAACGGCUUACCAAGGCAACGAUGCAUAGCCGACCUGAGAGGGUGAUCGGCCACACUGGAACUGAGACACGGUCCAGACUCCUACGGGAGGCAGCAGUAGGGAAUCUUCCGCAAUGGGCGAAAGCCUGACGGAGCAACGCCGCGUGAGUGAUGAAGGUCUUCGGAUCGUAAAACUCUGUUAUUAGGGAAGAACAUAUGUGUAAGUAACUGUGCACAUCUUGACGGUACCUAAUCAGAAAGCCACGGCUAACUACGU